Molecule: ribosomal RNA, 741 nt
Filed under: uncultured bacterium
Lineage: Bacteria
Description: bacterial SSU rRNA
Rfam family: Bacterial small subunit ribosomal RNA
Source: RNAcentral
GUAACGGCCUACCAAGGCAACGAUGGUUAGCUGGUCUGAGAGGAUGAUCAGCCACACUGGAACUGAGAUACGGUCCAGACUCCUACGGGAGGCAGCAGUGAGGAAUAUUGCGCAAUGGGGGCAACCCUGACGCAGCAACGCCGCGUGAGUGAGGAAGGUUUUCGGACUGUAAAGCUCUGUCGAGCGGGAAGAAAUGUGUAAAGGUUAAUACACUUUACGUUUGACGGUACCGCUAAAGGAAGCACCGGCUAACUCCGUGCCAGCAGCCGCGGUAAUACGGGGGGUGCAAGCGUUGUUCGGAAUUAUUGGGCGUAAAGAGCGUGUAGGCGGCUUGAUAAGUCAGAUGUGAAAGCCCCGGGCUUAACCCGGGAAGUGCAUUUGAAACUGUCUUGCUAGAGUAAGGGAGGGGGAAGUGGAAUUCCUGGUGUAGAGGUGAAAUUCGUAGAUAUCAGGAGGAACACCGGCGGCGAAGGCGACUUCCUGGCCCUACACUGACGCUGAGACGCGAGAGCGUGGGUAGCAAACAGGAUUAGAUACCCUGGUAGUCCACGCCGUAAACGAUGUUCACUAUGUGUUGGGGGUAUUGACCCCCUCAGUGCCGGAGCUAACGCAUUAAGUGAACCGCCUGGGGAGUACGGUCGCAAGACUAAAACUCAAAGGAAUUGACGGGGGCCCGCACAAGCGGUGGAGCAUGUGGUUUAAUUCGAUGCAACGCGAAGAACCUUACCUGGGCUUGACAUC